AUCGAACUUCUACACUCAGGUGCCUUGUGCCAUGCACAGGGUUAAACGGGAAACAGGUGAAAGACCUGUGCUGCCCCCGCAACGGUAAGAUGUUGUCACCGCUGAUGCCACUGUACUUUCAAGUACGGGAAGGCGCGGUGAAUCGCGCAAUGCGCCGCAUCAAGCCCGGAUACCGGCCUGAGUGGGAUCACUGUU
This 195-nucleotide non-coding RNA is filed under the name Nitrincola lacisaponensis. Lineage: Bacteria; Pseudomonadati; Pseudomonadota; Gammaproteobacteria; Oceanospirillales; Oceanospirillaceae. The record is from RNAcentral.